AGGAAAAUUGAAGAAAUACUUUACUGGCUCUUUCAUGCCUCUAUAUAAUGCUGCAUCAUAAGCAUUUCGGAGAAGAGAUCUAGCCAGCGGAUCGAAAAACAGUACUAAAAGCGAUCGGAAUAUCAAAGCGUAGGGACUUCGGUCGUAGGUGAGAUGCAGCCGAAUGCCUUGUAUAUUGGGUUGCUUCGGUUUCAAGCUGUAUAUAUAUAGCUAGCCAAUUCGUGGCACCGAGCUUCAUCUGUCCUCGACUGAAGCCUCUCAAGCUUUGUUUCCACAGAAAAGCAACCCAUCUUUAAUUUCUUUGCAAGCUUGGAGAAUGAUCAGAUCCGGCCACCUACGACGUCUACUUCUACAUAGGCAACGGAGAAACGCAUGGCCUGGUCGGCAGGGGUGUUGAUCAUUAGCUAGCUAGUGAAGGACUCGAACACAUGAUUUCUUCUGAGAAGGGUAUAUUUGUCAAGAUGAAGGCUGAAGGAUGACGAGCUAAUUGGAGAUCUUCUGUUCACAAGGUUCACCGCAAGUUUAGUCAUUUUACAUGUCAUUGCAGUAUUAAUUAGAACAUAGUAAUCAUCGUAAGCCUGCAACUGGUGUUUUUAUCUUGUGCUAAAUAUUCAAGCCAGCUAUGUUUGGAGAUAGCAACAAAUUAGCCUAUUUUCUCUUAGUUUAAUUGAUUUGACUUUAAUUUUACUGGUCCAGAAUAUUAUUUAACUUAUAUAUAUUUGU
Molecule: small RNA, 723 nt
Filed under: Malus domestica (apple)
Lineage: Eukaryota; Viridiplantae; Streptophyta; Magnoliopsida; Rosales; Rosaceae
Description: sRNA MD17G0039700
Rfam family: MIR5225 microRNA precursor family (bases 129-265)
Source: RNAcentral